This 491-nucleotide ribosomal RNA is filed under the name uncultured bacterium. RNAcentral describes it as "bacterial SSU rRNA". It matches the Rfam family "Bacterial small subunit ribosomal RNA", at positions 15 to 507 of the family's 1533-position model. The record is from RNAcentral.
GAUCAUGGCUCAGAUUGAACGCUGGCGGAAUGCUUUACACAUGCAAGUCGAACGGUAGAGGGGCAACCCUUGAGAGUGGCGAACGGGUGAGUAAUAUAUCGGAACGUGCCCAGUCGUGGGGAUAACGUAGCGAAAGUUACGCUAAUACCGCAUACGAUCUAAGGAUGAAAGCGGGGGGACCGUAAGGCCUCGCGCGAUUAGAGCGGCCGAUAUCAGAUUAGGUAGUUGGUGGGGUAAAGGCUCACCAAGCCAACGAUCUGUAGCUGGUCUGAGAGGACGACCAGCCACACUGGAACUGAGACACGGUCCAGACUCCUACGGGAGGCAGCAGUGGGGAAUUUUGGACAAUGGACGCAAGUCUGAUCCAGCCAUUCCGCGUGCAGGAUGAAGGCCCUCGGGUUGUAAACUGCUUUUGUACGGAACGAAAAGGUUUCUAUUAAUACUAGGAGCUCAUGACGGUACCGUAAGAAUAAGCACCGGCUAACUACGUG